RNAcentral lists this ribosomal RNA (1377 nucleotides) under metagenome. Its description in RNAcentral is "bacterial LSU rRNA". It matches the Rfam family "Bacterial large subunit ribosomal RNA", at positions 1518 to 2925 of the family's 2925-position model. The record is from RNAcentral.
AUAGGAGGGGUACGGCUGGAAAAACCGCCGUGCAACCCAAAGGUGUGACGCAUACCGAACUAAAGUAGGGAAAUGUGUGAGCCGGCUGCCGAGAAAAGCCGCUAUUGUUUGUACUGUACCCGUACCGUAAACCGACACAGGUGGAUGAGGAGAGAAUCCUAAGGCCGACGGAAGAAGCAUUGCUAAGGAACUCGGCAAAAUGACCCUGUAACUUCGGGAGAAAGGGUGCCUCGAUAGAGGCCGCAGAGAAUAGGCCCAAGCAACUGUUUAGCAAAAACACAGGUCUAUGCAAAACCGCAAGGUGAAGUAUAUGGGCUGACGCCUGCCCGGUGCUGGAAGGUUAAGGGGAGAUGUCAGGAGACGAAGCAUCGAACUUAAGCCCCAGUAAACGGCGGCCGUAACAAUAACGGUCCUAAGGUAGCGAAAUUCCUUGUCGGGUAAGUUCCGACCCGCACGAAAGGCGUAAUGAUUUGGGCGCUGUCUCGGCAAUGCAUCCGGUGAAAUUGAAGUGCCAGUGAAGAUGCUGGCUACCCGCGCCAGGACGGAAAGACCCCAUGGAGCUUUACUCCAGCUUGAUACUGGGAUUCGGUAUUGUAUGUACAGGAUAGGUGGGAGGCUGAGAAAUGGUGACGCCAGUCGCCAUGGAGCCGCUGUUGGGAUACCACCCUUGCAGUACUGGAUUUCUAACCAGCAGCCGUGAUCCGGCUGGGGGACAAUGUCAGGUGGGGAGUUUGACUGGGGCGGUCGCCUCCGAAAGGGUAUCGGAGGCGCUCAAAGGUUCCCUCAGAAUGGUCGGAAACCAUUCGAAGAGUGCAAAGGCAGAAGGGAGCUUGACUGCGACACCGACGGGUGGGGCAGGUACGAAAGUAGGACUUAGUGAUCCGGUGGUAUUAAGUGGGAAUGCCAUCGCUCAACGGAUAAAAGCUACCCUGGGAUAACAGGCUUAUCACUCCCAAGAGUUCACAUCGACGGAGUGGUUUGGCACCUCGAUGUCGGCUCAUCGCAUCCUGGGGCUGUAGUAGGUCCCAAGGGUUGGGCUGUUCGCCCAUUAAAGCGGUACGCGAGCUGGGUUCAGAACGUCGUGAGACAGUUCGGUCCCUAUCCGGCGUGGGCGUAGGAUAUUUGAGAGGAGCUGACCUUAGUACGAGAGGACCGGGUUGGACUGACCUCUGGUGCACCGGUUGUCAUGCCAAUGGCACAGCCGGGUAGCCAAGUCGGGAAGGGAUAAACGCUGAAGGCAUCUAAGCGUGAAGCCCCCCUCAAGAUGAGAUAUCCCCCGCAUAAGCGGUAAGACCCCUUGAAGACGACGAGGUAGAUAGGGCAGAGGUGGAAGUGCAGUAAUGUAUGGAGCUGACUGCUACUAAUAGGUCGAAGGCU